UUGACUUAUUGUAUAAGUUACUCAGAGAGGCCAAUGAUGACUAAGAGUUACGGUCCUCUGACGGGUUGCCGGGCCCGGGGUGGGGCCCGGCGCGGCCCCCGGAGAGGGGCCACCCGCCGAAGCAACGGUGAGGUAGGUUCACAAUGGUUGGGAGUUUUGCAACUCUGUAAUGAUCCCUCCGCUGGUUCACCAACGGAGA
Molecule: unclassified non-coding RNA, 199 nt
Filed under: uncultured fungus
Lineage: Eukaryota; Fungi
Description: sequence contains ITS1
Source: RNAcentral